Molecule: ribosomal RNA, 400 nt
Filed under: uncultured bacterium
Lineage: Bacteria
Description: bacterial SSU rRNA
Rfam family: Bacterial small subunit ribosomal RNA
Source: RNAcentral
UAAGGAAUAUUGGUCAAUGGACGGAAGUCUGAACCAGCCAUGCCGCGUGAAGGAUGAAGGUCCUCUGGAUUGUAAACUUCUUUUAUUUGGGAAGAAAUGUAAUUAUUCUUGGUUACUUGACGGUACCAGAUGAAUAAGCACCGGCUAACUCCGUGCCAGCAGCCGCGGUAAUACGGAGGGUGCAAGCGUUAUCCGGAUUUACUGGGUUUAAAGGGAGCGCAGGCGGGUGUCCAAGUCCGUGGUGAAAUCUCCGAGCUUAACUCGGAAACUGCCAUGGAUACUGGAUGUCUUGAAUAAUGUGGAGGUCAGCGGAAUAUGUCAUGUAGCGGUGAAAUGCAUAGAUAUGACAUAGAACACCUAUUGCGAAGGCAGCUGGCUACACAUCGAUUGACGCUGAGGC